UGGGGAAUAUUGCACAAUGGGCGCAAGCCUGAUGCAGCCAUGCCGCGUGUGUGAAGAAGGCCUUCGGGUUGUAAAGCACUUUCAGCGAGGAGGAAGGUGGUGGACUUAAUACGUUCAUCAAUUGACGUUACUCGCAGAAGAAGCACCGGCCAACUCCGUGCCAGCAGCCGCGGUAAUACGGAGGGUGCAAGCGUUAAUCGGAAUUACUGGGCGUAAAAGCGCACGCAGGCGGUUUGUUAAGUCAGAUGUGAAAUCCCCGGGCUCAACCUGGGAACUGCAUUUGAAACUGGCAAGCUAGAGUCUCGUAGAGGGGGGUAGAAUUCCAGGUGUAGCGGUGAAAUGCGUAGAGAUCUGGAGGAAUACCGGUGGCGAAGGCGGCCCCCUGGACGAAGACUGACGCUCAGGUGCGAAAGCGUGGGGCAGCAAACAGGAUUAGAUACCCUGGUAGUCCAGCGCUGUAAACGAUGUCGAUUUGGAGGUUGUGCCCUUGAGGCGUGGCUUCCGGAGCUAGCGCGUUAAAUCGACCGCCUGGGGAGUACGGCCGCAAGGUUAAAAC
This 556-nucleotide ribosomal RNA is filed under the name uncultured bacterium. RNAcentral's name for it is "partial 16S ribosomal RNA". It matches the Rfam family "Bacterial small subunit ribosomal RNA", at positions 355 to 900 of the family's 1533-position model. The record is from RNAcentral.